Molecule: long non-coding RNA, 278 nt
Filed under: Musa acuminata (dwarf banana)
Lineage: Eukaryota; Viridiplantae; Streptophyta; Magnoliopsida; Zingiberales; Musaceae
Description: long non-coding RNA (MACU_LNC010726)
Source: RNAcentral
CAGAUUCGGAAAGAUCCGAACUUAGAAACUCGUUCGUAAAAGCGCAGAAGGCAGUAGCUAUUUAGGAGGUUUGCAGUAAUGAUAAAAUGCUCAAAGUAAAUGCAAACCGAGAUUUAGAGUGGUUCGGUCAGUCUUGACCUACUCCACUUUUGGCUUCCUCCUCCGACGAGGUCACCGACGUCAACUAGAGGGCUUCCUUCAAUAGGCGAAGGCCAACUGCCCUUUUACAGUUUCACUCCUUUUGAUGGGCUCAGGAGACAACCCUUACAGAACCUUUC